Molecule: ribosomal RNA, 484 nt
Filed under: uncultured bacterium
Lineage: Bacteria
Description: partial 16S ribosomal RNA
Rfam family: Bacterial small subunit ribosomal RNA
Source: RNAcentral
AUUGAACGCUGGCGGCAGGCCUAACACAUGCGAGUCGAGCGGAUGAAGGGAGCUUGCUCCUGGAUUCAGCGGCGGACGGGUGAGUAAUGCCUAGGAAUCUGCCUGGUAGUGGGGGAUAACAUCCGGAAACGGGCGCUAAUACCGCAUACGUCCUGAGGGAGAAAGUGGGGGAUCUUCGGACCUCACGCUAUCAGAUGAGCCUAGGUCGGAUUAGCUAGUUGGUGGGGUAAAGGCCUACCAAGGCGACGAUCCGUAACUGGUCUGAGAGGAUGAUCAGUCACACUGGAACUGAGACACGGUCCAGACUCCUACGGGAGGCAGCAGUGGGGAAUAUUGGACAAUGGGCGAAAGCCUGAUCCAGCCAUGCCGCGUGUGUGAAGAAGGUCUUCGGAUUGUAAAGCACUUUAAGUUGGGAGGAAGGGCAGUAAGUUAAUACCUUGCUGUUUUGACGUUACCAACAGAAUAAGCACCGGCUAACUUCGUG